AUGGUCAGUAGGGCAAAGGGAGCAAUCCGCUCUGGGAUGAGCCCGCGGCCCAUUAGCUAGUUGGUGAGGUAACGGCCCACCAAGGCGACGAUGGGUAGCUGGUCUGAGAGGAUGUCCAGCCACACUGGGACUGAGACAUGGUCCAGACUCCUACGGGAGUUAGCAUCGAGGGAUAUUGCGCAAUGGGCGAAAGCCUGACGCAGUGACGCCGCGUGGAGGAUGAAGGCUUUCGGGUUGUAAACUCCUGUCGGGUGGGAAGAAAUGCCUGGCUUUGCCAGGAGCUGACGGUACCACCCAAGAAAGCUCCAGCUAACUACGUGCCAGCAGCUGCGGUAAUACGUAGGGAGCGAGCGUUGUCCGGAAUCACUGGGCGUAAAGGGCAUCUAGGCGGUCCUGUAAGUCGAAUGUGAAAUGCUCAGGCUUAACCUGAGAAAGCCGUUCGAUACUGCCGGACUUGAGUACCGGAGAGGGCAACGGAACUCCUGGUGUAGCGGUGAAAUGCGUAGAUAUCAGGAGGAACACCCGUGGCGAAGGCGGUUGCCUGGACGGUAACUGACGCUGAAGUGCGAAAGCUAGGGGAGCGAACGGGAUUAGAUACCCCGGUAGUCCUAGCCGUAAACGAUGGUCACUAGGUGUUGGAGGCAUCGACCCUUCCAGUGCCGAAGCUAACGCAUUAAGUGACCCGCCUGGGGAGUACGGCCGCAAGGUUAAAACUCAAAGGAAUUGACGGGGGCCCGCACAAGCGGUGGAGCAUGUUGCUUAAUUCGACGCAACGCGAAGAACCUUACCAGGCCUUGACAUCGAAGGAAAGCCUAUGAAAGUAGGCCCACCCCGCAAGGGGACCCGAAGACAGGUGGUGCAUGGCUGUCGUCAGCUCGUGUCGUGAGAUGUUGGGUUAAGUCCCGCAACGAGCGCAACCCUCAUCGCGUGUUGCCAGCGGAUAAUGCCGGGAACUCUCGCGAAACUGCCAGAGCAAUCUGGAGGAAGGUGGGGAUGACGUCAAGUCAGCAUGCCCCUUACGGCCUGGGCUGCAAACAUGCUACAAUGGCCGGUACAAAGGGGAGCGAAGCCGCGAGGUGGAGCCAAUCCCAAAAAGCUGGUCUCAGUUCGGAUUGAAGUCUGCAACUCGACUUCAUGAAGCCGGAAUCGCUAGUAACCGCAGAUCAGCAACGCUGCGGUGAAUACGUUCCCGGGCCUUGUACACACCGCCCGUCAAGUCAUGGGAGUGGUCUACACCCGAAGCCGGUGGGCUAACCGCAAGGAAGCAGCCGUCGAAGGUGGAGGCCGCGACUGGGACUAAGUCGUAACAAGGUA
RNAcentral lists this ribosomal RNA (1314 nucleotides) under metagenome. Its description in RNAcentral is "bacterial SSU rRNA". It matches the Rfam family "Bacterial small subunit ribosomal RNA", at positions 189 to 1498 of the family's 1533-position model. The record is from RNAcentral.